GACGAACGCUGGCGGCGUGCUUAACACAUGCAAGUCGAGCGGUAAGGCCCUUUCGGGGGUACGACGAGCGGCGAACGGGUGAGUAACACGUGGGUGACCUGCCCUCAGCUCUGGGAUAAGCCUGGGAAACCGGGUCUAAUACUGGAUAUGACUCCAUGACGCAUGUUGUGGGGUGGAAAGCCUUGUGCGGCUGAGGAUGGGCCCGCGGCCUAUCAGCUUGUUGGUGGGGUGAGGCCUACCAAGGCGACGACGGGUAGCCGGCCUGAGAGGGCGACCGGCCACACUGGGACUGAGACACGGCCCAGACUCCUACGGGAGGCAGCAGUGGGGAAUCUUGCGCAAUGGGCGAAAGCCUGACGCAGCGACGCCGCGUGAGGGAUGAC
RNAcentral lists this ribosomal RNA (383 nucleotides) under uncultured bacterium. RNAcentral describes it as "bacterial SSU rRNA". It matches the Rfam family "Bacterial small subunit ribosomal RNA", at positions 28 to 412 of the family's 1533-position model. The record is from RNAcentral.